UACGUAGGGGGCGAGCGUUGUCCGGAGUUACUGGGCGUAAAGGGCGUGCAGGCGGUGCAGUAAGUUUGGAGUGACAGUAGCCGGCUCAACUGGGUAAGGUCUUCAAAGACUGCCGGACUUGAGGGCCAGAGAGGGACAUAGAAUUCCGGGUGGAGUGGUGAAAUGCGUAGAUAUCCGGAGGAAUACCAAAGGCGAAGGCAGUGUCCUGGCUGGCAUCUGACGCUGAGGCGCGAAAGCUAGGGGAG
Molecule: ribosomal RNA, 245 nt
Filed under: uncultured bacterium
Lineage: Bacteria
Description: partial 16S ribosomal RNA
Rfam family: Bacterial small subunit ribosomal RNA
Source: RNAcentral